RNAcentral lists this small RNA (500 nucleotides) under uncultured Glomus. RNAcentral's name for it is "SSU rRNA". It matches the Rfam family "Eukaryotic small subunit ribosomal RNA", at positions 591 to 1092 of the family's 1831-position model. RNAcentral also lists the same sequence under 1 other name. Lineage: Eukaryota; Fungi; Glomeromycota; Glomeromycetes; Glomerales; Glomeraceae. The record is from RNAcentral.
CCAAUAGCGUAUAUUAAAGUUGUUGCAGUUAAAAAGCUCGUAGUUGAAUUUCGGGAUCAAUUAAUUGGUCGUGCCUCUGGUACGUACUGAUUUUAUUGGUUUCUCCCUUCUGACGAACCAUGAUGUCAUUAAUUUGGUGUCGUGGAGAAUCAGGACUGUUACUUUGAAAAAAUUAGAGUGUUUAAAGCAAGCUAACGCUUGAAUACAUUAGCAUGGAAUAAUGAAAUAGGACGUUUGAUCCUAUUUUGUUGGUUUCUAGGAUCGACGUAAUGAUUAAUAGGGAUAGUUGGGGGCAUUAGUAUUCAAUUGUCAGAGGUGAAAUUCUUGGAUUUAUUGAAGACUAACUACUGCGAAAGCAUUUGCCAAGGAUGUUUUCAUUAAUCAAGAACGAAAGUUAGGGGAUCGAAGACGAUCAGAUACCGUCGUAGUCUUAACCAUAAACUAUGCCGACUAGGGAUCGGAUGAUGUUAAUUUUUUAAUGACUCAUUCGGCGCCUUACG